This 253-nucleotide ribosomal RNA is filed under the name uncultured bacterium. RNAcentral's name for it is "partial 16S ribosomal RNA". It matches the Rfam family "Bacterial small subunit ribosomal RNA", at positions 524 to 776 of the family's 1533-position model. The record is from RNAcentral.
UACGAAGGGGGCUAGCGUUGCUCGGAAUUACUGGGCGUAAAGCGCACGUAGGCGGAUCGUUAAGUCAGGGGUGAAAUCCUGGAGCUCAACUCCAGAACUGCCUUUGAUACUGAAGAUCUCGAGUCCGGGAGAGGUGAGUGGAACUGCGAGUGUAGAGGUGAAAUUCGUAGAUAUUCGCAAGAACACCAGUGGCGAAGGCGGCUCACUGGCCCGGUACUGACGCUGAGGCACGAAAGCGUGGGGAGCAAACAGG